CUUUUUGUUCAAAAUUUGAAUCCCUGCUCAUCCCCACUUCCCCAUACAUCUGUCUUUUCAAAAUCAAAUCUCAAAAUCUGGCAACCAUUCUCUCUCAAGAAACCCUACAAACUUAUCACAGCCCAAAUCCAUCACGAUACCAAGAAGACGACCCUAAGAUGUGCAAUUCCUCUUCAGAUUACAGUUUGUUUCUCUUCAGGUCUACGAUUCCUCUUCAGAUCUGUGUUUGUUUCUUCUUCAGAUCUACGAUUCCUCUUCAGAUCUGGGCAGUUAGCCAGCUCCGCACCUACUUUAUAUAGAAGAAUACCCUUAAUGUUCCUGUUGUAUAAUGUGCAAGGCUUUAGCUUUGUUUGCAGCAAGAACAACUUCAGCGGUGUAAGAUUUCACCGGAUCAAUUCUGAUUUUGCUCUCAUCAGCGGCUGUAAAUGGUGGUUGUUUGGUUAAGCUAGCGAUUCCGACCACUUGACAAACUUUAAGAAAGAACCAUACAGAGAGAAGGGAAGGAGAAUCUCUAGAGAAGUGUUUAUAGAUAGAUCUAAGUUGGGAUUGAAGUAAGAGUUAUGGAUCAUACUGUUGGUGGGAAGUUUAAGCUUAAAAGGAAAAUUGGGAAUGGGUCGUUUGGUGAACUUUAUUUAGGUGUCAAUAUUCAAAGUGGUGAAGAAGUAGCUAUUAAACUGCCACCACAAAAGCAACCAAAGACGACGACCUUUCUUUCAUUUUUUCAGAUGCCACAACAAGCUCAAGAAAAGUCUUGAAAAACAACAGACAGGCAAAAGUUCGAGUCCAAGGGUAUUCCAGUAAUUCUUCACCUGGGUAUCAUCAAUAUAUGCUGCAAUGUUGUUUUCUGGGCCUACGUUUUGCUUCGGAUAUGGCUGUUGAAGGCCCCAUUCUGGGUUGCUUGGAUGGUGCAAAAGUCUCAUUACUCGGUACCAAAUAAAGGGACUAAAGGCCUGUUUACUAACUGGGCUGAUAAUUUGGAUCUCAACUACCGGUUUCGGACCAAGGCCCCAAAUGGGUGCCAGCAGUUAAUGGGCCUAGGUGUCUAUGCAUACUUGAAGACCCAUAGUGGUUCUCAACCUGAACCAACCCGGGCACGUUUUCAUGUUGUUAGCUUAGCAAUCCAUCUACACUUCAUGAGACUGUUGUGGAAGUGCCCAAUGUAAGAUGGGAAGACAUUGGCGGCCUCAAGAAUGCUAAAUGAGAGCUGCAAGAGGUUUUUUACUCAUCACUGUGUAAGGGAUCGACUCUCAUUUUCGGUUGUAGUGCACAUUUGAAGAGUAUCUAAUGCUAGACAUUUGGAGGAUUACUCAAUAAACAAGUCCCUUCAUGCUAAAGACUUGAAUAAAAGAUUGCGGUUUUGCAUCUGGAUCCAACAUACAUGAUCCGGGCUGUUCCAAGUAAUGCGUAUGAUAGUAUCUAUUGCACACUUCUUGCUUAAAGUGCCGUUCAUGGGGCCAUGGCCAUACUCGGGUUUCACUAUGGGACCUGUGAACAGCACAUACGCAUACCGCAUAUCCAAACGCGUAUAUUCCAAUUGAGCGUGUAACUGAGGUUACAAAUGUUGUGAAGUUGAUAGAUAGAAUGUGGGCUAGACUUCUAGCUUCGACUAAUCAACCCACUUUUUGGAUGGACAUGAAUAGAUUUGACCCGAUAUUCGUAUGUUUCUUGUCUCCAAUUGGUCCUUGGUCCUCUGUUGAGGUGGAAAGUUGAAUUUUAAAGAAGCUGGCUUACAUGAAGAAAAAGUUUUAUUCAAACUUUGAAGGUUCUGGACUGUAAUAUAGAAGUUUGGUUGGUCCUCACUUCCAGAUUAUCAAAAUGCCUUUUUUUAUUUGGUCCCCGGAUAACGACCGAGGAAUCCAAACACCGACAUCAUCAAGAAAAAGAGGAACCACAUAUUACAACAGAAUUGAAUAUUUAAACAUGUUUUGAUUUUAAAUAUAUAACAAAUCGAGUAAGAUGGCAGCAUGCCUAUCACCAUCAGUUCCAAAAUGUUGAUUUGUUCUUGGCAAAAGCAUUUCAUUGAUCGUUAAUAUUGAUGCUGCCUAGAUUUGUUAAACUAUAUCGAGCAAUAGCUGGCCAACCAGUUGCCCCUUAAGUUGCA
Helianthus annuus (common sunflower) is the source of this 2101-nucleotide long non-coding RNA. RefSeq lists it as uncharacterized. NCBI's taxonomy places the organism in Eukaryota, Viridiplantae, Streptophyta, Magnoliopsida, Asterales, Asteraceae. The transcript has 10 exons. The record is from RefSeq and is a predicted model, not a curated record.